GGUACUGUGGCCGAGUGGUUAAGGCGCUGUGUUCAGGCCGCAGUCUUCGGGCGCGGGUUCGAAUCCCGUCGGUGCCA
Molecule: transfer RNA, 77 nt
Filed under: Kwoniella bestiolae CBS 10118
Lineage: Eukaryota; Fungi; Basidiomycota; Tremellomycetes; Tremellales; Cryptococcaceae
Description: tRNA-Leu (CAG) (tRNA-Leu-CAG-1-1)
Rfam family: tRNA
About the family: Transfer RNA (tRNA) molecules are approximately 80 nucleotides in length. Their secondary structure includes four short double-helical elements and three loops (D, anti-codon, and T loops).
Source: RNAcentral